AAACUUUCAACAACGGAUCUCUUGGUUCUGGCAUCGAUGAAGAACGCAGCGAAAUGCGAUAAGUAAUGUGAAUUGCAGAAUUCCGCGAAUCAUCGAAUCUUUGAACGCACAUUGCGCCCGCUAGUAUUCUAGCGGGCAUGCCUGUUCGAGCGUCAUUU
This 158-nucleotide ribosomal RNA is filed under the name Torrentispora fibrosa. Its description in RNAcentral is "5.8S ribosomal RNA". It matches the Rfam family "5.8S ribosomal RNA". Rfam says of the family: 5.8S ribosomal RNA (5.8S rRNA) is a component of the large subunit of the eukaryotic ribosome. It is transcribed by RNA polymerase I as part of the 45S precursor that also contains 18S and 28S rRNA. Lineage: Eukaryota; Fungi; Ascomycota; Sordariomycetes; Xenospadicoidales; Xenospadicoidaceae. The record is from RNAcentral.